RNAcentral lists this ribosomal RNA (376 nucleotides) under Latilactobacillus sakei. RNAcentral describes it as "bacterial SSU rRNA". It matches the Rfam family "Bacterial small subunit ribosomal RNA", at positions 92 to 461 of the family's 1533-position model. The record is from RNAcentral. Lineage: Bacteria; Bacillati; Bacillota; Bacilli; Lactobacillales; Lactobacillaceae.
UGAGUGGCGGACGGGUGAGUAACACGUGGGUAACCUGCCCUAAAGUGGGGGAUAACAUUUGGAAACAGAUGCUAAUACCGCAUAAAACCUAACACCGCAUGGUGUAGGGUUGAAAGAUGGUUUCGGCUAUCACUUUAGGAUGGACCCGCGGUGCAUUAGUUAGUUGGUGAGGUAAAGGCUCACCAAGACCGUGAUGCAUAGCCGACCUGAGAGGGUAAUCGGCCACACUGGGACUGAGACACGGCCCAGACUCCUACGGGAGGCAGCAGUAGGGAAUCUUCCACAAUGGACGAAAGUCUGAUGGAGCAACGCCGCGUGAGUGAAGAAGGUUUUCGGAUCGUAAAACUCUGUUGUUGGAGAAGAAUGUAUCUGAUAG